Molecule: ribosomal RNA, 120 nt
Filed under: Caerostris extrusa
Lineage: Eukaryota; Metazoa; Arthropoda; Arachnida; Araneae; Araneidae
Source: RNAcentral
UUACGGCCAUACCAUGCUGAAUAUACCGGUUCUCGUUGGAUCACCGAAGUCUAGCAUCAUUGGGCGCGGUCAAUACUUGGGUGGGGACCACCAACCACCUGGGAACACCGCGUGCCGUUG